CAGCCCCGGCCGCUGGGCGCACCCGUCCCGUUCGUCCCCGGACGUUGCUCUCUACCCCGGGAACGUCGAGACUGGAGCGCCCGAACUGAGCCACCUUCGCGGACCCCGAGAGCGGCGGCGCGACUCACCGCGGAGGCGCCCGGACGCGUCAAACCCAGCCCAAUAGGAAGCACCUGAUCCACACUCUUUCUAGCCCCAGAGAUGCUCAGGAAAGCAGCUCUUCUUUAGGGCUGUCAUCUGUUCUGGGGAUCUGUUGCUGUUCCUUGGGCCCACAGAAUACACUCCAUACCUCGGGACUCCAUAAUAUUGGACAAGGCUGGAAGGCCCAUUUGGAUCCUGCAGCCUCUUGUGCAGGAGGACCUCCUGAGGCUUCACGCAGGAGCUGGUGCACACCUGGAGGAGAGUGCUGGUGAACGGCAGGUGUGUGCCUCAGUGUCCUUGCUGCCUGGGUGUCAGCCCUGCUUCACCACUGGCCCUUUGUCUCUGUCCCCUCCACUGGCCUCUUGAAGCACAGAGACCCUCCAGGUACUUUCCUUCCUCUGGGCUUCCACUCAUGCUAUUCCCUGCUCCCUUCUUCUACCUGGAGACCCCCAUUCCUCCUCCUCCUCCACUGCUGCCCUCACCUCCACCUGGGCCCUCCCAGCUCCCGGGAGAUGGCCGAACCCCACUGCCUGCCAGCUAGUCAUCCUCUUCAGCGGUCCUCCCAGAGCUGUCCUUGGCAUGGCAGCCUCCACAGCCCCAGGUGUCACCCCCGGUUUCAUGUCUGCCUCGUACUCCAGACCUGUCCCUCCCAGGCUGGCCCAGAUGGAUCCUCUGCAGUGACUAACCCGAACCAGCACUGGGCAGGGACCCAAUAAACCUUUGUGAA
This 868-nucleotide long non-coding RNA is filed under the name Pongo abelii (Sumatran orangutan). Its description in RNAcentral is "lincRNA". The stretch from base 12 to 85 matches the Rfam family "mir-1247 microRNA precursor family". Lineage: Eukaryota; Metazoa; Chordata; Mammalia; Primates; Hominidae. The record is from RNAcentral.